This is a small nucleolar RNA of Coffea eugenioides, 111 nucleotides long. Lineage: Eukaryota; Viridiplantae; Streptophyta; Magnoliopsida; Gentianales; Rubiaceae. The record is from RefSeq and is a predicted model, not a curated record.
AGGUCAUGAUGAGGACACUUCCUUCGCAAGCCCUUGUUCCAUUCCUCUGCUUUAUUCAGUAAUUCACCUUCUAAUUGGCAAAAAAAACCUAGUUAUUUCAUUUCUUAACUU